RNAcentral lists this long non-coding RNA (731 nucleotides) under Nicotiana tabacum (common tobacco). RNAcentral describes it as "long non-coding RNA (NTAB_LNC010378)". Lineage: Eukaryota; Viridiplantae; Streptophyta; Magnoliopsida; Solanales; Solanaceae. The record is from RNAcentral.
AACAGAGAAAUGGGAAACUUAUUACAAAGUGAACAUUUCAACUAAACAAUCACAUUAAUUUGAUCUUCUGUCACCUUGCAUAGCAAAAGUCUUUUGUAAUUUCACAUCAUGGGAACUAAUCUAUUACAUGAAAGCAAAGCGAAUCAGAAUUUUAUUGAAAACCAAAGGAAUUAGAUCACUUUUACACAACAGUGAUUCAAAUUUAUAGAGGACUACCUGGUUGUAUAGGAAUCAACUUAGAAAUGCCAAAUGAAGGCUAGAUAAGGAAUGGUUAGAGUACAUCAAAAAUAAAAACAGCAUAUUCGGCAACCAGCAACAGUGAUUUCGAAAUUAAAUCCUUCUCUUAGAACCCAGCGAGUGAGGAGUAAACAAUCCCAAGCAAGAAUACCUUUGAAAUCCUAAUUCUCCUCUUCUUUGUAGAGCUUUUGAUUUUCAUAUCUCUUUUGAGAGUUUUUGAAUUUUUUUUUUUUUUGGAAAGUUUGUUUUCGGGAUGAUGACGAUUGCUCCUCCGUCCCUUCAGAUGUGUGUGUAUAUUCUUUUAGAAAAAAGGGUGUGGGUAUGAGAGAGUGAAUAAGAAAAAGAAAGAGUCGGCUAGUUGUUUUUUAGGGAGGGGGUCUCAUCUAGCGUUCUAGUGAAGGGAAGAAGAAGGAGCCGCCAUGGGUGUUCUAUUGCUGAGAGCUUUUUAGAGGAUGGGACGGCUGCUGCUCGUUUCUUCAAGAGGGGGGGGUCUG